UUGCUGCAAUGUGCAAAAAUAAGUUCUUUCCAACAUUUUGUGAUAUGACAAAAUUUUGGAAAAAACUUAUUUUUGCACAUUGCAGCAA
Non-coding RNA from Paramuricea clavata, 88 nucleotides. The record is from the annotation of a GenBank genome assembly. NCBI's taxonomy places the organism in Eukaryota, Metazoa, Cnidaria, Anthozoa, Malacalcyonacea, Plexauridae.